UAACUGAAAAUAAGAAACAGUUCUGGAGAACACUCUGCUUUAAAUUGAAUUCAUGAGCUAUGCAUUCUCACAAUCAAGGUUUUAAAUUGCAUUCGUGUUCAUGGAUAUGGUUGUGGUGUUAUUUUGUUGUGGCCAAAGUGUAAGGUUGUGGAUGCUGUUACUGUGAAAUGGGAACAGUUCUGUAGAAAGAUCUUGCAUUAAAUUUUAGAAGUAAUUGUGUUCAGGGACAUGAUUGGGGUAUUAGGGCGCAUGACCUAAGUGUAACCAUUGUAAUUGGUGCAACUGUGCAUUUUUUUAAGUAAAAAUUAGCUUUUAUGAAAGAGUGGGUAUAUGUAGUGUAAUGGCUCGAAUGGCAAAGAAACAGGGUUGAAAUGCCCAUAAAAAUCAAAUAACUCUGCUGAAUUGCCUGUUCCAAUUAACACAGUUGUUAAAACUAAGCUCAUAAUGACUAAUAAAAGAAUCAGAAAAUCAGUAGACGAAAUAGAAACUUCAGUGCCAUAACUUUGAAGUUUCUGUGAUGAGAAAGGCAUAUUGUUGAACCUGUUGUACUUGAACAAUAGCUAUAAAGAAAGAUUGUUGACCUUCUAGAAUUAUUUUCCUCAAUUAUAACUAAGUAUUUUGUAUUGAAAUGGAAACUUAGUAUUUCAUCCUUCUCAUAUUGAUUGUACACUGAAAAUCUAUAUCAGGGUUAGGCACACUUCUUCAACUUUAGACCCAUUACAAAUGAAUUCUUGGCUGCUAGGUGGAUUGUUUUUCCUUGAGCAGAUAAUUUUCUUUCUGAAAUCCUCAUAAUGUUACAAAAAUUGUUAUCCUC
RNAcentral lists this unclassified non-coding RNA (814 nucleotides) under Hevea brasiliensis (rubber tree). The record is from RNAcentral. Lineage: Eukaryota; Viridiplantae; Streptophyta; Magnoliopsida; Malpighiales; Euphorbiaceae.